UGCAGACUCCUUGAGCAGUGUGCUGUG
Molecule: non-coding RNA, 27 nt
Filed under: Homo sapiens (human)
Lineage: Eukaryota; Metazoa; Chordata; Mammalia; Primates; Hominidae
Source: RNAcentral